GGGGGUAUAGCUCAGUGGUAGAGCGUGUGCUUAGCGUGCAUGAGGUCCUGGGUUCAAUCCUCAGUGCCUCCA
Molecule: transfer RNA, 72 nt
Filed under: Camelus bactrianus (Bactrian camel)
Lineage: Eukaryota; Metazoa; Chordata; Mammalia; Artiodactyla; Camelidae
Also listed under: 2 other names
Rfam family: tRNA
About the family: Transfer RNA (tRNA) molecules are approximately 80 nucleotides in length. Their secondary structure includes four short double-helical elements and three loops (D, anti-codon, and T loops).
Source: Rfam by way of RNAcentral